UACGUAGGUGGCAAGCGUUGUCCGGAUUUACUGGGUGUAAAGGGCGCGUAGGCGGGAUGGCAAGUCAGAUGUGAAAUCUAUGGGCUCAACUCAUAAACUGCAUUUGAAACUGUCGUUCUUGAGUAUCGGAGAGGCAAGCGGAAUUCCUAGUGUAGCGGUGAAAUGCGUAGAUAUUAGGAGGAACACCAGUGGCGAAGGCGGCUUGCUGGACGACAACUGACGCUGAGGCGCGAAAGCGUGGGGAG
This 245-nucleotide ribosomal RNA is filed under the name uncultured Sporobacter sp. Its description in RNAcentral is "partial 16S ribosomal RNA". It matches the Rfam family "Bacterial small subunit ribosomal RNA", at positions 524 to 768 of the family's 1533-position model. Lineage: Bacteria; Bacillati; Bacillota; Clostridia; Eubacteriales; Oscillospiraceae. The record is from RNAcentral.